Nycticebus coucang (slow loris) is the source of this 107-nucleotide small nuclear RNA. NCBI's taxonomy places the organism in Eukaryota, Metazoa, Chordata, Mammalia, Primates, Lorisidae. The record is from RefSeq and is a predicted model, not a curated record.
AUGCUCGCUUCAGUAGCAUACAUACUAAAAUUGGAAUGAUACAGAGAAGAUUAGGAUGGCCUCUGCACAAGGAUGACACACAAGUUCAUUAAGUGUUCCAUAUUUUU